AAGACUUUAGAUAUGAUCCAGAGUACCACGGGACACGUGAAACCCUGUGGGAAGCAGGAGGGACCACCCUCCAAGGCUAAAUACUACCUAGUGACCGAUAGCGUAUAGUACCGUGAGGGAAAGGUGAAAAGAACCCCGGGAGGGGAGUGAAAUAGAACCUGAAACCCUGCACUUACAAGCUGUGGAAGCACAUUUCUUGUGUGACCGCGUACUUUUUGUAGAACGGGCCAACGAGUUACGUUAAGUAGCAAGGUUAAGCACUUAAGGUGCGGAGCCGUAGCGAAAGCGAGUUUUAACUGAGCGUUCAGUUACUUGACGUAGACCCGAAACCGGGCGACCUACCCAUGAGCAGGAUGAAGCGAAAGUAAAAUUUCGUGGAGGUCCGAACCCACGAGCGUUGAAAAGCUCGGGGAUGACUUGUGGGUAGCGGUGAAAUUCCAAUCGAGCCCGGAGAUAGCUGGUUCUCCCCGAAAUAGCUUUAGGGCUAGCCUCAAGGUGAGAGAUACGGAGGUAGAGCACUGAAUGUCCUAGGGGGUAUUGCACCUACCGAAGACUAUCAAACUCCGAAUGCCGUCAUCUUAUACUUGGGAGUCAGACUGUGGGUGAUAAGAUUCAUAGUCGAAAGGGCAACAGCCCAGAUCGUCAGCUAAGGUCCCUAAAUGUAAGUUAAGUGGUAAAGGAUGUGGGAUUGCACAGACAACCAGGAUGUUGGCUUAGAAGCAGCCACUCAUUCAAAGAGUGCGUAAUAGCUCACUGGUCGAGUGAUCCUGCGCCGAAGAUUUCCGGGGCUAAAACUUACUACCGAAGCUACGGCAUCAGUAAUGAUGGGUAGGGGAGCUUCCCAUACGGGUUGAAGCAUGACCGUAAGGACAUGUGGACAGUAUGGGAGUGAGAAUGUUGGCAUGAGUAGCGAGAUGUGGGUGAGAAUCCCACAGGCCGUAAACCCAAGGUUUCCAGGGGAAGGUUCGUCCGCCCUGGGUUAGUCGGGACCUAAGCUGAGGCCGAAAGGCGUAGGUGAUGGACAACAGGUUGAUAUUCCUGUACUACCGAUAACCGUUUGAGAGAAGGGAUGACACAGUAGGAUAAGCUAAGCACACUGUUGGUUAUGUGUGCCCAAGCAUUGAGGCAGUCAAAGUAGGCAAAUCCGCUUUGAUAAUGCUGGGAUGUGAUGGGGAGCGAAAUUUAGUAGCGAAGUAGCUGAUUUCACACUGUCAAGAAAAGUCUCUAUCGAGGUUAAAGGUACCCGUACCGCAAACCGACACAGGUGGGUGAGGAGAGUAUCCUAAGGCCAGCGAGAGAACUGUUGUUAAGGAACUCGGCAAAAUGACCCCGUAACUUAGGGAUAAGGGGUGCCACCAUCAGGUGGCCGCAGAGAAUAGGCCCAAGCGACUGUUUACCAAAAACAUAGGUUUCUGCUAAGUCGCAAGACGAUGUAUAGGAGCUGACGCCUGCCCGGUGCUGGAA
RNAcentral lists this ribosomal RNA (1464 nucleotides) under Clostridioides difficile. Its description in RNAcentral is "partial 23S ribosomal RNA". It matches the Rfam family "Bacterial large subunit ribosomal RNA", at positions 390 to 1874 of the family's 2925-position model. Lineage: Bacteria; Bacillati; Bacillota; Clostridia; Peptostreptococcales; Peptostreptococcaceae. The record is from RNAcentral.